Ornithodoros turicata is the source of this 551-nucleotide long non-coding RNA. RefSeq lists it as uncharacterized. The transcript has 4 exons. NCBI's taxonomy places the organism in Eukaryota, Metazoa, Arthropoda, Arachnida, Ixodida, Argasidae. The record is from RefSeq and is a predicted model, not a curated record.
CUUCUUAUGAUGGUCGGACUCACGGUGCAAGACAAAGCUUGCGGAAUACUUUAUCCUAUCUCAAGACGGUCCUAUCUCGGUCGAGCACCUUUUGACUUCAGCAGAGGGGCUGUAGCUAAUGCUAACUUCAUGAUACAGCAGGUGCACAGCAGGUGCAAGCAGUCCAUUAUCUUUGCGCACAGUGUAUGACCAUUUCUUCGACCAAGUGGAGAAGAACCAUGCAAGUACAUGAAGUAAAACGCCGCAAGAUGAAGACUUACUUUUACUCUUCUUCUGAUUCUUUUUCGUUUGGCGACGAAGGAGAAUGGGAGCUUAUCGCGAGUGAACAUGAGUGCGCUGUGAUGUAUAUAGAGACCCCACUAUUUCUUUCCUGCGUGGGAUAGAAGGUACCCCAUAGAUGCAGGACUCCAAACGAAGAUUUACAGUGAGUAAUGUAAAACGACGUAUCUAUUGCAAGCACUUUUCAACUGGAUGGAUAUCUCGAUUACAUAAUGAAUUUAGCGAUCAGUACAUAUUUCGAACAGGUCAUAAAAAUACGAGAUGGUACUACC